This 501-nucleotide ribosomal RNA is filed under the name uncultured bacterium. Its description in RNAcentral is "bacterial SSU rRNA". It matches the Rfam family "Bacterial small subunit ribosomal RNA", at positions 10 to 507 of the family's 1533-position model. The record is from RNAcentral.
AGUUUGAUCAUGGCUCAGAUUGAACGCUGGCGGCAGGCCUAACACAUGCAAGUCGAGCGGUAGAGAGAAGCUUGCUUCUCUUGAGAGCGGCGGACGGGUGAGUAAUACCUAGGAAUCUGCCUGAUAGUGGGGAUAACGUUCGGAAACGGACGCUAAUACCGCAUACGUCCUACGGGAGAAAGCAGGGGACCUUCGGGCCUUGCGCUAUAAGAUGAGCCUAGGUCGGAUUAGCUAGUUGGUGAGGUAAUGGCUCACCAAGGCUACGAUCCGUAACUGGUCUGAGAGGAUGAUCAGUCACACUGGAACUGAGACACGGUCCAGACUCCUACGGGAGGCAGCAGUGGGGAAUAUUGGACAAUGGGCGAAAGCCUGAUCCAGCCAUGCCGCGUGUGUGAAGAAGGUCUUCGGAUUGUAAAGCACUUUAAGUUGGGAGGAAGGGCAUUAACCUAAUACGUUAGUGUCUUGACGUUACCGACAGAAUAAGCACCGGCUAACUCUGUG